UACAGAGGUCCCGAGCGUUUUUCGGAUUUACUGGGCGUAAAGGGUGCGUAGGCGGUGGGGUAAGUUUGAGGUGAAAGCUCCGGGCUCAACCCGGAAAAUGCCUUGAAAACUAUCCGGCUAGAGGGUUGGAGGGGAGACUGGAAUUCUCGGUGUAGCAGUGAAAUGCGUAGAUCUCGAGAGGAACACCAGUGGCGAAGGCGGGUCUCUGGACAACACCUGACGCUGAGGCACGAAAGCCAGGGGAGCAAACGGG
This 253-nucleotide ribosomal RNA is filed under the name uncultured bacterium. RNAcentral's name for it is "partial 16S ribosomal RNA". It matches the Rfam family "Bacterial small subunit ribosomal RNA", at positions 524 to 776 of the family's 1533-position model. The record is from RNAcentral.